GCGGAUAUGGUGCAACGGCUAGCACGAAAGGCUUCCACCCUUUUGAUAUGGGUUUGAAUCCCAUUAUCCGCU
RNAcentral lists this transfer RNA (72 nucleotides) under Acaryochloris thomasi RCC1774. It matches the Rfam family "tRNA". From Rfam's summary of the family: Transfer RNA (tRNA) molecules are approximately 80 nucleotides in length. Their secondary structure includes four short double-helical elements and three loops (D, anti-codon, and T loops). Lineage: Bacteria; Bacillati; Cyanobacteriota; Cyanophyceae; Acaryochloridales; Acaryochloridaceae. The record is from Rfam by way of RNAcentral.